GCUGGCGGCACGCCUAACACAUGCAAGUCGAACGAAGUAGCAAUACUUAGUGGCAGACGGGUGAGUAACAUGUGGGUAUCUGCCCUUUGGCCUGGAAUAACACGAGGAAACUUGUGCUAAUACCGGAUAAGUCUUUACGGAGAAAGCUUUAUGCACCAUUGGAUGAGCCCGCACUUGAUUAGUUUGUUGGUGGGGUAAUGGCCUACCAAGACUGUGAUCAAUAGCUGAUUUGAGAGGAUGAUCAGCCACAUUGGGACUGAGACACGGCCCAAACUCCUACGGGAGGCAGCAGUGGGGAAUCUUGCACAAUGGAGGAAACUCUGAUGCAGCGAUGCCGCGUGAGUGAAGAAGGCCCUUGGGUUGUAAAGCUCUUUCGUCGGGGAAGAAAAUGACUGUACCCGAAUAAGAAGGUCCGGCUAACUUCGUGCCAGCAGCCGCGGUAAUACGAAGGGACCUAGCGUAGUUCGGAAUUACUGGGCUUAAAGAGUUCGUAGGUGGUUGAAAAAGUUAGUGGUGAAAUCCCAGAGCUUAACUCUGGAACUGCCAUUAAAACUUUUCAGCUAGAGUAUGAUAGAGGAAAGCAGAAUUUCUAGUGUAGAGGUGAAAUUCGUAGAUAUUAGAAAGAAUACCAAUUGCGAAGGCAGCUUUCUGGAUCAUUACUGACACUGAGGAACGAAAGCAUGGGUAGCGAAGAGGAUUAGAUACCCUCGUAGUC
This 715-nucleotide ribosomal RNA is filed under the name uncultured Pseudomonadota bacterium. RNAcentral describes it as "bacterial SSU rRNA". It matches the Rfam family "Bacterial small subunit ribosomal RNA", at positions 35 to 795 of the family's 1533-position model. The record is from RNAcentral. Lineage: Bacteria; Pseudomonadati; Pseudomonadota.